This 468-nucleotide ribosomal RNA is filed under the name uncultured bacterium. Its description in RNAcentral is "partial 16S ribosomal RNA". It matches the Rfam family "Bacterial small subunit ribosomal RNA", at positions 28 to 507 of the family's 1533-position model. The record is from RNAcentral.
GACGAACGCUGGCGGCGUGCUUAACACAUGCAAGUCGAACGGAAAGGCCCUGCUUUUGUGGGGUUCUCGAGUGGCGAACGGGUGAGUAACACGUGAGUAACCUGCCCUUGACUUUGGGAUAACUUCAGGAAACUGGGGCUAAUACCGGAUAGGAGCUCCUGCUGCAUGGUGGGGGUUGGAAAGUUUCGGCGGUCGGGGAUGGACUCGCGGAUUAUCAGCUUGUUGGUGGGGUAGUGGCUUACCAAGGCAUUGACGGGUAGGCGGCCUGAGAGGGUGACCGGCGACAAUGGGACUGAGAGACGGCCCAGACGCCUACGGGAGGCAGCAGUGGGGAAUAUUGCACAAUGGGCGCAAGCCUGAGGCAGCAACGCCGCGUUCGGGAUGACGGCCUGCGGGUUGUAAACCGCUUUCGCCUGUGACGAAGCGGGAGUGACGGUAAUGGGUAAAGAAGCACCGGCUAACUACGUG